CACGAACCGUACGAACGUUAUUCGGAAUUACUGGGCUUAAAGGGUUUGUAGGCGGCCUUGUAAGUCAGGUGUGAAAGCCCUCGGCUCAACCGAGGAACAGCGCUUGAUACUGCAAGGCUUGAGGGAGACAGGGGUAAGCGGAACUGAUGGUGGAGCGGUGAAAUGCGUUGAUAUCAUCAGGAACACCGGUGGCGAAAGCGGCUUACUGGGUCUCUUCUGACGCUGAGGAACGAAAGCUAGGGUAGCGAACGGGAUUAGAAA
This 261-nucleotide ribosomal RNA is filed under the name uncultured bacterium. Its description in RNAcentral is "partial 16S ribosomal RNA". It matches the Rfam family "Bacterial small subunit ribosomal RNA", at positions 524 to 784 of the family's 1533-position model. The record is from RNAcentral.